GCGUCCGUAGCUCAGUUGGUUAGAGCACCACCUUGACAUGGUGGGGGUCGGUGGUUCGAGUCCACCCGGACGCACCA
Molecule: transfer RNA, 77 nt
Filed under: Escherichia coli
Lineage: Bacteria; Pseudomonadati; Pseudomonadota; Gammaproteobacteria; Enterobacterales; Enterobacteriaceae
Also listed under: 1 other name
Description: tRNA-Val
Rfam family: tRNA
About the family: Transfer RNA (tRNA) molecules are approximately 80 nucleotides in length. Their secondary structure includes four short double-helical elements and three loops (D, anti-codon, and T loops).
Source: RNAcentral